AUUGAACGCUGGCGGCAUGCUUUACACAUGCAAGUCGAACGGUAACAGGCCGCAAGGUGCUGACGAGUGGCGAACGGGUGAGUAAUGCAUCGGAACGUGCCCAGUCGUGGGGGAUAACGCAGCGAAAGCUGCGCUAAUACCGCAUACGAUCUCUGGAUGAAAGCGGGGGACCGAAAGGCCUCGCGCGAUUGGAGCGGCCGAUGUCAGAUUAGGUAGUUGGUGGGGUAAAGGCUCACCAAGCCAACGAUCUGUAGCUGGUCUGAGAGGACGACCAGCCACACUGGAACUGAGACACGGUCCAGACUCCUACGGGAGGCAGCAGUGGGGAAUUUUGGACAAUGGGCGAAAGCCUGAUCCAGCCAUUCCGCGUGCAGGAUGAAGGCCCUCGGGUUGUAAACUGCUUUUGUACAGAACGAAAAGGUCUCUAUUAAUACUAGGGGCUCAUGACGGUACUGUAAGAAUAAGCACCGGCUAACUACGUGCCAGCAGCCGCGGUAA
This 498-nucleotide ribosomal RNA is filed under the name uncultured bacterium. RNAcentral describes it as "partial 16S ribosomal RNA". It matches the Rfam family "Bacterial small subunit ribosomal RNA", at positions 30 to 523 of the family's 1533-position model. The record is from RNAcentral.